Hydra vulgaris (swiftwater hydra) is the source of this 361-nucleotide long non-coding RNA. RefSeq lists it as uncharacterized. The record is from RefSeq and is a predicted model, not a curated record. Lineage: Eukaryota; Metazoa; Cnidaria; Hydrozoa; Anthoathecata; Hydridae.
UUGCUGAAUUUGAAAACAAAUUGGCUUCUUGGUCGGCAUUUACAAACAUUUUGUGGACUAAAUGUAACAGCAAAACUGUUACAUUGGCUAAUAAGGGUUUGAGUCAGAAUUCAAAACAUUUUGAUGAGAAGUUUAAAUUUAGAAAUGUAACAUAUUUAUGCAAGCAUGGAGGAGUUAAGAGAACAAAAGGGAAAGGAAUUCGCCCAAAUCAAAGCUCUUUCAAAAUUGGAUGUUGUGCCAAACUUUAUAUUAGUAUUAAUAAAGAUAAAACAAAACUAGUAGUACAGCAACUUCAGGCUAACCAUAACCAUGAAGUCAGCAGAACUGCUUUUAUGCAUUACCCUGAACAACGCCGGUUAAG